RNAcentral lists this ribosomal RNA (330 nucleotides) under uncultured eukaryote. Its description in RNAcentral is "partial 18S ribosomal RNA". It matches the Rfam family "Eukaryotic small subunit ribosomal RNA", at positions 1470 to 1796 of the family's 1831-position model. The record is from RNAcentral.
CCCUUAGAUGUUCUGGACCGCACGCGCGCUACACUGAUGAAUUCAACGAGCUCCUAACCUAGGCCGAAGGGUCCGGGUAAUCUUUGAAAUUUCAUCGUGAUGGGGAUAGAUUAUUGCAAUUAUUAAUCUUCAACGAGGAAUUCCUAGUAAGCGCGAGUCAUCAGCUCGCGUUGAUUACGUCCCUGCCCUUUGUACACACCGCCCGUCGCUCCUACCGAUUGAAUGGUCCGGUGAAAUGUUCGGACCGCGACAAGGCGGACGGUUCGCUGUCAGCUUUGCUGCGGGAAGUUCAUUAAACCUUAUCAUUUAGAGGAAGGAGAAGUCGUAACA